CAACCCUCAAGCCCGCUGCGCGCUUGCUGUUGGGGACCGGCUCACCCGCCUCGCGGCGGCGGCCGCCCCCGAAAUGAAUCGGCGGUCUCGUCGCAGCCUCCUUUGCGUAGUAACACACCACCUCGCAACCGGGAGCGCGGCGCGGCCACUGCCGUAAAACGCCCAACUUUCUCCAAGAG
This 179-nucleotide unclassified non-coding RNA is filed under the name Neotyphodium sp. 'BAFC 57'. RNAcentral's name for it is "ITS2". The record is from RNAcentral. Lineage: Eukaryota; Fungi; Ascomycota; Sordariomycetes; Hypocreales; Clavicipitaceae.